This 465-nucleotide ribosomal RNA is filed under the name uncultured bacterium. Its description in RNAcentral is "partial 16S ribosomal RNA". It matches the Rfam family "Bacterial small subunit ribosomal RNA", at positions 338 to 795 of the family's 1533-position model. The record is from RNAcentral.
CCUACGGGAGGCAGCAGUAGGGAAUAUUGCUCAAUGGGGGAAACCCUGAAGCAGCAACACCGCGUGAGUGAAGAAGGGUUUCGGCUCGUAAAGCUCUGUUGUUGGAGAAGAACGUGCGUGAGAGUAACUGUUCACGCAGUGACGGUAUCCAACCAGAAAGUCACGGCUAACUACGUGCCAGCAGCCGCGGUAAUACGUAGGUGGCAAGCGUUAUCCGGAGUUAUUGGGCGUAAAGCGGGCGCAGGCGGUUGCUUAGGUCUGAUGUGAAAGCCUUCGGCUUAACCGAAGAAGUGCAUCGGAAACCGGGCAACUUGAGUGCAGAAGAGGACAGUGGAACUCCAUGUGUAGCGGUGGAAUGCGUAGAUAUAUGGAAGAACACCAGUGGCGAAGGCGGCUGUCUGGUCUGCAACUGACGCUGAGGCUCGAAAGCAUGGGUAGCGAACAGGAUUAGAUACCCGUGUAGUC